UCGGCACGAAAGCGCGUGCCUGAACUCCGCGGUGCUGCGUGCUGUAGAACGGCAUCGCGGUUGAAAGCGAAGUGCACAGGGAGCAAGUAGGCCCCCUGAUAGUUAGAAGGCACACUCCGUGAUGGCUUGAGCACCAAGGCAUUGGAUGGUUGCAGCCACCACGCAGCCCUAGUAGAGCAUGCCAGUGGCCAGGAGAAAAUUGCUGGCUUCAGCUCCACUACUUCGAACUAAAGGCUGGCUUCCCCACCGGAGCUUGUGAGGUUGCUCGCAGACCUCCUCUACGACGACCAAAGUUCCCAUGAGGCUGCAGUUCAGGUUGCCCACUACUUGGCCACAUAUGGAGCAGUUCAUGACGGGAGCUCUGAAACACAAUGAACUUUCAUUCGUUGUGGAGAGGCUCUUCCAUUGUUAGAACUCUAGUGCUGUAGCCUUGAUGAAUACUUCAGAUGAAUGACCCCAUCAGACAUGAUAG
Molecule: long non-coding RNA, 472 nt
Organism: Rhipicephalus microplus (southern cattle tick)
Lineage: Eukaryota; Metazoa; Arthropoda; Arachnida; Ixodida; Ixodidae
Source: RefSeq, a predicted model, not a curated record